RNAcentral lists this ribosomal RNA (306 nucleotides) under uncultured bacterium. RNAcentral describes it as "partial 16S ribosomal RNA". It matches the Rfam family "Bacterial small subunit ribosomal RNA", at positions 505 to 807 of the family's 1533-position model. The record is from RNAcentral.
GACAGCAGCAGCCGCGGUAACACAGAGGGUGCGAGCGUUAAUCGGAUUUACUGGGCGUAAAGCGUGCGUAGGCGGCUUCUUAAGUCGGAUGUGAAAUCCCUGAGCUUAACUUAGGAAUUGCAUUCGAUACUGGGAAGCUAGAGUAUGGGAGAGGAUGGUAGAAUUCCAGGUGUAGCGGUGAAAUGCGUAGAGAUCUGGAGGAAUACCGAUGGCGAAGGCAGCCAUCUGGCCUAAUACUGACGCUGAGGUACGAAAGCAUGGGGAGCAAACAGGAUUAGAUACCCCUGUAGUCCCUGUCUCUUAUAC